Molecule: ribosomal RNA, 593 nt
Filed under: Elaphe taeniura (beauty snake)
Lineage: Eukaryota; Metazoa; Chordata; Lepidosauria; Squamata; Colubridae
Description: partial 12S ribosomal RNA
Source: RNAcentral
AUAAUACUAACGGCGUAAAGCACGACCAAUAAUUAGUUAAAACACUAGGAACGAAGAUAAACUAGGCCGUAAAAAGCCAUAAGCCACACUAACCAAACCCUAACACCAAACAACUACCACUCGUGAAAGUUAGGACACAAACUAAGAUUAGAUACCUUACUAUGCCCAACUAUAACACAACAAUUAAAUAACCCAUUGUUCGCCAAAUAACUACGAGUAAAAACUUAAAAUUUAAAAGACUUGACGGUGCCUCAAACCAACCUAGAGGAGCCUGUCUAAUAACCGAUACCCCACGAUAAACCCGACCCACUCUAGCCUACAGUCUAUAUACCGCCGUCGCCAGCCUACCUUGUGAAAGAAACAAAGUGAGCCUAAUAGCCCCCACUAAUACGACAGGUCGAGGUGUAACUUAUGGGUGGGAACAAGAUGGGCUACAUUUUCCAACACAGAAAAUACGAAUUAAUCUAUGAAAUAAGAAACUGAAGGCGGAUUUAGCAGUAUGCUGAGAACAAUAUGCCCAGCUGAAACCAACGCAAUGAGGUGCGUACACACCGCCCGUCAUCCCUGUUAAUCAACUAAAAACCAUACAUAAA